This 373-nucleotide ribosomal RNA is filed under the name uncultured organism. RNAcentral's name for it is "partial 16S ribosomal RNA". It matches the Rfam family "Bacterial small subunit ribosomal RNA", at positions 527 to 896 of the family's 1533-position model. The record is from RNAcentral.
GGAAGGUGCAAGCGUUACCCGGAAUCAUUGGGCGUAAAGCGUCCGCAGGCUGUUUGUUAAGUUGGGUGUUAAAUUUUGCAGCUCAACUGCAAAACUAUAUCCAAAACUAGCAAACUUGAGUAUUGCAGAGGUACGUGGAAUUCUGUGUGUAGGGGUAAAAUCCGUAGAUACACAAAAGAACACCAAAAGCGAAGGCAGCGUACUGAGCAAUUACUGACGCUCAGGGACGAAAACGUGGGUAGCGAACGGGAUUAGAUACCCCGGGUAGUCCACGCCGUAAACGAUGGAUACUAGGUGUUGGGAGACUCGACCCCUCUCAGUGCCGACGCUAACGCAUUAAGUAUCCCGCCUGGGGAGUACGGUCGCAAGAUUA